AGUGAGCGCUGGCGGUAGGCCUAACACAUGCAAGUCGAACGGCAGCACAGUAAGAGCUUGCUCUUACGGGUGGCGAGUGGCGGACGGGUGAGGAAUACAUCGGAAUCUACUUUUUCGUGGGGGAUAACGUAGGGAAACUUACGCUAAUACCGCAUACGACCUACGGGUGAAAGCAGGGGAUCUUCGGACCUUGCGCGAUUGAAUGAGCCGAUGUCGGAUUAGCUAGUUGGCGGGGUAAAGGCCAACCAAGGCGACGAUCCGUAGCUGGUCUGAGAGGAUGAUCAGCCACACUGGAACUGAGACACGGUCCAGACUCCUACGGGAGGCAGCAGUGGGGAAUAUUGGACAAUGGGCGAAAGCCUGAUCCAGCCAUACCGCGUGGGUGAAGAAGGCCUUCGGGUUGUAAAGCCCUUUUGUUGGGAAAGAAAAGCAGCAGGUUAAUACCCCGCUGUUCUGACGGUACCCGAAGAAUAAGCACCGGCUAACUUCGUG
This 492-nucleotide ribosomal RNA is filed under the name uncultured bacterium. RNAcentral's name for it is "partial 16S ribosomal RNA". It matches the Rfam family "Bacterial small subunit ribosomal RNA", at positions 29 to 507 of the family's 1533-position model. The record is from RNAcentral.